AGUAGAAUUGUUUGUUCAUACCCUAUGUUUAACUUUUUGAGGAACUGCCAAAUUGUUUCCCAAAGAGGCUGCAUCCUUUUACAUUCUCACCAACAAU
Molecule: microRNA precursor, 97 nt
Filed under: Marmota monax (woodchuck)
Lineage: Eukaryota; Metazoa; Chordata; Mammalia; Rodentia; Sciuridae
Source: RNAcentral